AGCGUAUGAAUUGCUGCGACACGAGUCGGACCCGCGACUAAUCACUCGACUCUGCAUGCAGACGCGUGGUUAGUGUCACCCUUCACCUCAGUGUGUAACUCGACGUAGAUCUACAUUGUGAAAAUGGCCAAGGCGUUCAGCCUGCUUCAGUUUGGGCACCAUUCUUUUUUGGGCCCUACACUCCUGACAAAUUCCGAUGCUGAGGAGGUUGAGGAAGAAAUUCAGGAGAUUGAGUGGGAUCGAGAAGAUAUGAAGAAGCAGGACAGUCGUUCUUCUCCAUAUCAAGAUAUGAAGAGGAAGGACAGUCCUUCUUCAUAUAAAGAUACAAAGAGAAGGGACAGUAAAUCCCUCAACAAAACAGAAGAAACAGAUUAUGACUAUUGCUCUGAUUGCACUUCUGAGGAGUCAAACUCCACUUACAGGCACUCAUCAAGGACCUCAAAGCGUGAGCGACAGAAAAGAACCAGUGAAGAUAAGAAACAUCGCUCCACUGCAAAGGUGCUGAAUUGUGAAUGUGCCAAGCUCAAGGAUGCCUUAAAAAAAGAGAGAGAAGCCAGAGCUGCUCUUGAAAAGACUUUGGAGAAAGAGUUGGCAGCUAAAGCUGCUCAAGAGAAAGCACUUAAGAAGAAAAGUGAUGACAGAGCCAUUCUUAAAGAGAAAGUGGAGAGCAUAAAGUCACAAAUGGCAACUCUUAAAGAUUCACUAAAAAAAGAGCAGCGCAACAAUGCAAAACUUAAAUGUAAAGUAGAUGAAAUGGCACAUAAACUUGAGAAGGAUCAGAGUUUGAUCAAGAAGCUCCAGGAAGAUCUGGCCACUUCCUCCAGCUGUCUCAAAGAGCAUGAUAAAAAGGCUCUUGCAGAACUGCAGGAAGUGAAGGACCAGCUCACCCAGCAGCAAAAAGAAAGCUUGGACAAAAACAAUGAAAUCUCGUCCUUGCAUUGCAACAUUCUGAAUCUUCAAAGUGAUAUUGAAGCCAAGGACAAGCUUGUGGAUUCUUGGACCGAGAAAGCCAAACAAUUGGCUUCUGAGGCCAAAGAAGAACGUAUAAAGGUGGUCAAACUCCAGAAGGACAUUGAGGUGGCGCUCUCCCACCAGCAGGAAAAAGCAGAGGAAUUUGAUCGUCUGACACAUAAAAACCAGUCCAUGGUCACAGAAAUUCAGGAACUAACAUCAGCUGUGGAGGCUCAAAAAGCCAAUGCUGCCACACUUCAGUAUAGCCUGAAAAAUGAAGCCAGAGAGCUGCAUUUGCAGAUCCAGUCCUUGCAAAAAGACAUUGGACUCAAAGAUGCACUUCUGAGGCAAAAAGACCAAAAAGUCUCUGAGCUUUCAGAGAAAGCACUAAAGAACAAGACGCUGCAAAAUGAUCUGGGGGCCGCCCAGACUGAGACGCAGCUUGCUCUAAAACAGCUCGAAGAAUCCAGAGCACUGUGCAAUAACCUUGAGGAGAAAAUUGUGAAGUUGCAGAGAGUCUGUAAGAGGGAAAAGCAGAAAAACAAGGAACUCUCUGAGCAGACCCUGGAUCUAGAAAAGAGUCUGACUUCUGAGAGAUUUCUGAAUUCUUCCCUGAAAGAGAAGCAGACACAACUUGAGCUGACUGCUUCGGAGAAUCAGACCAAAAUCAAGGAUUUGACAUGCCUCACUCACCAGCUAGCUGACAGCCUCCAGUCUGAGUGCGCAGUAAAACACAGCUUGAUUUGUGACAUGCAGAAACAGGAGAAGGAGAAUGAAGAUAUGACGGUGAAAUUGAAGGCAAUGGAGAGCAAACACGAGAGCCUCCUGUCUCAACACCGCCUUCUCUCUGACCUACAUAGAGAGCACAUAUCAGCUAAAAACACUAUAGCUGAUGAGCUGAAAGCCUUUCAGUCAGAGAACACGACUCGAAAGACUGAACUUGAAGAUACCCUGAAAGAGAGCAGGACUCGGCAGACUGAGCUUGAAGAUGCCCUGAAAGAGAGCAAGACUCGGCAGACUGAACUUGAAGAUGCCCUUAAAGAGGAGCAGAAGCAUAGCGCCGAGUUCCAGAAGAAAGCCGAUCGGUUUGCAUCUGCUCUCAAAGAAGAAAAGGCGAAGUGUGAAAGCUAUCACACUGAGCUCAAGGAGACUCUGUACAAACAGAUAAAAACAGUGGAGGAGCGUGGACAGUUGACUGUGGCACUGAAGAGAGCAAAUGAGACCUGUUCCAUGCUUCAGCAGCAGCAAGUAAAAUGUUUGACAGAAAUGGCCAUUCAGUCCAGACAGCUCAGUGGCACUGAGCUUAAGUUUAACAUGGAAAAAGCUGCCCUGGAACAGAAGAUAACAGCUCUAAACCAACUGCAAAAGGAGAACCAAGAACUGGGGAGGAAGAACAAGGACCUUCACUCUGAUUAUUGUGACCUGUUUAUGAAUCACAGAGCCCUCCAAGGGAAAUAUGAAAGGCUCAGUGGUGUACAAGACCAGCACCAACCAGAAGUCCAUCUAUCCAUGAGAACCUGCCUCAGCACCCUGACCUGGUAGCCUGGUUGAUGGAAACUUCAGUUGCUAUUACACUACAUGCACUAGCCUACUUGUUUUCAAUUUAAAUAAACAUUUUAAAAAUGUAUAAAUGCAUGCUUUAUGUUGUUUAGAGCAAGUUACUAUUUGGCUUUAGUAUACCUCUAAAAUACCUCUAAAAACAUUUAAAUAUUUUCAAUGUUAACAAGCCGUGUUUUUAAAUUAACAUUUAACCUUUUGUUUUGUUGUAUAUGAUCACAUCUCUUAUGUGUCCGGAUGAGGAAAGAACAAGGCAAGGACAUGAUACCGUAAUGCUUAGAUGAUAACUGAUGAACUACAUUUUUUUAAUAGAUUAAAAUAUUCCUUCUAAUGCAGCGGUCAAGUUCAAGUUUUAUACUUUAUUUAUGUUCAUAAUUAUUUUAUAAAUGUUACUGUCACAGCUGCAAAAAAUAACCUAAGAGGUGC
Long non-coding RNA from Myripristis murdjan (pinecone soldierfish), 2934 nucleotides. The record is from Ensembl. Lineage: Eukaryota; Metazoa; Chordata; Actinopteri; Holocentriformes; Holocentridae.